UCUUUUCCUUUUUUUCCCUCAGCCGCGGUAAAACGUAGGUCACAAGCGUUGUCCGGAAUUACUGGGUGUAAAGGGAGCGCAGGCGGGAAGACAAGUUGGAAGUGAAAUCCAUGGGCUCAACCCAUGAACUGCUUUCAAAACUGUUUUUCUUGAGUAGUGCAGAGGUAGGCGGAAUUCCCGGUGUAGCGGUGGAAUGCGUAGAUAUCGGGAGGAACACCAGUGGCGAAGGCGGCCUACUGGGCACCAACUGACGCUGAGGCUCGAAAGUGUGGGUAGCAAACAGG
This 284-nucleotide ribosomal RNA is filed under the name Faecalibacterium prausnitzii. Its description in RNAcentral is "partial 16S ribosomal RNA". It matches the Rfam family "Bacterial small subunit ribosomal RNA", at positions 493 to 776 of the family's 1533-position model. The record is from RNAcentral. Lineage: Bacteria; Bacillati; Bacillota; Clostridia; Eubacteriales; Oscillospiraceae.